CGGACGGGUGAGUAACGCGUGGGUAACCUGCCUUGUACAGGGGGAUAACAGUUGGAAACGGCUGCUAAUACCGCAUAAGCGCACGGCAUCGCAUGAUGCAGUGUGAAAAAACUACCGGUGGUAUAAGAUGGACCCGCGUUGGAUUAGCUAGUUGGUGAGGUAACGGCCCACCAAGGCGACGAUCCAUAGCCGACCUGAGAGGGUGACCGGCCACAUUGGGACUGAGACACGGCCCAA
RNAcentral lists this ribosomal RNA (237 nucleotides) under uncultured bacterium. Its description in RNAcentral is "partial 16S ribosomal RNA". It matches the Rfam family "Bacterial small subunit ribosomal RNA", at positions 99 to 334 of the family's 1533-position model. The record is from RNAcentral.